This 591-nucleotide ribosomal RNA is filed under the name uncultured bacterium. Its description in RNAcentral is "bacterial SSU rRNA". It matches the Rfam family "Bacterial small subunit ribosomal RNA", at positions 335 to 919 of the family's 1533-position model. The record is from RNAcentral.
AUUCCUACGGGAGGCAGCAGUGGGGAAUUUUGGACAAUGGGCGAAAGCCUGAUCCAGCAAUGCCGCGUGUGUGAAGAAGGCCUUCGGGUUGUAAAGCACUUUUGUCCGGAAAGAAAUGGCUCUGGUUAAUACCUGGGGUCGAUGACGGUACCGGAAGAAUAAGGACCGGCUAACUACGUGCCAGCAGCCGCGGUAAUACGUAGGGUCCAAGCGUUAAUCGGAAUUACUGGGCGUAAAGCGUGCGCAGGCGGUUGUGCAAGACCGAUGUGAAAUCCCCGAGCUUAACUUGGGAAUUGCAUUGGUGACUGCACGGCUAGAGUGUGUCAGAGGGGGGUAGAAUUCCACGUGUAGCAGUGAAAUGCGUAGAGAUGUGGAGGAAUACCGAUGGCGAAGGCAGCCCCCUGGGAUAACACUGACGCUCAUGCACGAAAGCGUGGGGAGCAAACAGGAUUAGAUACCCUGGUAGUCCACGCCCUAAACGAUGUCAACUAGUUGUUGGGGAUUCAUUUCCUUAGUAACGUAGCUAACGCGUGAAGUUGACCGCCUGGGGAGUACGGUCGCAAGAUUAAAACUCAAAGGAAUUGACGGAAU